AGCCUCCUGGUGUUUACCACAGGCUGUUUCUUACACUGACUGCACAGAAAGAGGAGGGAAAGUAAAUGUACCAUGUACACCUCAGAACAGGCCAUGUGCCUAGUCUGUACUGUGAAUGGGGAGACAUGG
RNAcentral lists this small nucleolar RNA (129 nucleotides) under Castor canadensis (American beaver). RNAcentral's name for it is "Small nucleolar RNA SNORA51 (ENSCCNG00000010316.1)". It matches the Rfam family "Small nucleolar RNA SNORA51". From Rfam's summary of the family: ACA51 is a member of the H/ACA class of snoRNA that guide the sites of modification of uridines to pseudouridines. Lineage: Eukaryota; Metazoa; Chordata; Mammalia; Rodentia; Castoridae. The record is from Rfam by way of RNAcentral.